Salvia miltiorrhiza (redroot sage) is the source of this 1156-nucleotide long non-coding RNA. RefSeq lists it as uncharacterized. NCBI's taxonomy places the organism in Eukaryota, Viridiplantae, Streptophyta, Magnoliopsida, Lamiales, Lamiaceae. The record is from RefSeq and is a predicted model, not a curated record. The transcript has 3 exons.
UCACUACCCACUCACACUUUCCACUCUCCCCACUCACACUUCACACGAUACUUUGCCCCCCACCAAAAUAAACUUUAGCCAUAAUACCCAUUCCCUUCCACUCACCAUUUCUCCUACAUACCAAGGAACUAAGUGCAGAGCUACACCCACAGAAGUUCAGCUAUACCACACGGACAUCCCUAUCACUUCACUCAUUCUGAAAAUUUUCAUUUGCUCACCAAGAUCAUUUCGACAGAAUCCAGCACACAACAAACAAACAGGAUCAACACUCACUGAAAUUUCUCACAAGGCUUUGAGCAUCAGGAGGAUUAGCACUGCUUUUCCAAUUCAGAGAUAAGAUUAAACGACAGGCUUUGCCUAUACAGGUGGGCUUAUUUUUCAAAUGUAUGAUUUAGCUAUUGAGCUUAAAUAUUCGUGAAAUAUAAACUGUUUAUCCAAUAAAAUAUUUUUGUGCACUCUACCAUGUUUAAGGCUCGUACAGUUAAUCAAUUGAGGUUCUCUUAUAACCUAAAACGUUAUUUGAGAAUUGUGUACACUUGUUAGCUGACUCGGUGGGUUGAUCUCCAUCGGGCACUAACCAGAGGCGUUAUAAGGGUGCUCGACGGGAUGUGUUCCGGAGCAUAGAAAUGAUAGGCCUGUCUGGAUUAAUUUCCGAGGUUUAUUAUACUUGGCUGGGUUACGCCCUCAGUUCAAGUCAGCGGGAGACAGAGAUCCGUCGGUGGCUAGAGGUCCGGGAUCACAGCGAGUAACAGAAUGGAGUGUGCAAACGCGCGCAAAAUAAUUAAGUAUAUAUAUAUGAAAAUGUUUUAACAUGCAUAGAAGUUAUUUCUCUUUAAAACCUUUUAUGUCAUGUCAGUAAGAUUGGAUAAACUGUUCUUCAGAUUAUGAAAUGCUUUAAAAGUUGCAGCCCACUAAGUACAUUAGUACUUAGCCCAAAAUUACUUUCAAAUGUUUUCAGGUUAAUGGCUGGUGAUGACGGGGCAGAGCUGAGGCUAGGGUUCAACUCCGUAUUUUGUCUUCCGCUAUUGCACUAGCUUUUAUUUGUCUUUUGUUUCUCCAACUUAAGACUUUUAUGUUAAAUUCUGAAUUAUGUUUUUAUCGAGCUUAAACUCUCAACUUCUAGCUCUAUGUUAUUUAACAUUGGUUAUCGGAAGCA